UCUUCUGCCUUCUGCCAUUGCACUCUCUGGU
RNAcentral lists this non-coding RNA (31 nucleotides) under Homo sapiens (human). Lineage: Eukaryota; Metazoa; Chordata; Mammalia; Primates; Hominidae. The record is from RNAcentral.